RNAcentral lists this ribosomal RNA (429 nucleotides) under Bacillota bacterium. Its description in RNAcentral is "Firmicutes bacterium partial 16S ribosomal RNA". It matches the Rfam family "Bacterial small subunit ribosomal RNA", at positions 355 to 776 of the family's 1533-position model. Lineage: Bacteria; Bacillati; Bacillota. The record is from RNAcentral.
UGGGGAAUUUUGGACAAUGGGCGAAAGCCUGAUCCAGCAAUGCCGCGUGUGUGAAGAAGGCCUUCGGGUUGUAAAGCACUUUUGUCCGGAAAGAAAUGGCUCUGGUUAAUACCUGGGGUCGAUGACGGUACCGGAAGAAUAAGGACCGGCUAACUACGUGCCAGCAGCCGCGGUAAUACGUAGGGUCCAAGCGUUAAUCGGAAUUACUGGGCGUAAAGCGUGCGCAGGCGGUUGUGCAAGACCGAUGUGAAAUCCCCGAGCUUAACUUGGGAAUUGCAUUGGUGACUGCACGGCUAGAGUGUGUCAGAGGGGGAUAGAAUUCCACGUGUAACAGUGAAAUGCGUAGAGAUGUGGAGGAAUACCGAUGGCGAAGGCAGCCCCCUGGGAUAACACUGACGCUCAUGCACGAAAGCGUGGGGAGCAAACAGG